UUCUAGGGUUCUUGGAGAAACCCUUAUGUCUGCAAACCAAGGUAAAUGAAAACUCAUGGAUUUAGCUUAAUUCUCCCAUUAAUGAUUAGGAAAACAUUGUUAUUCAUGCUCUAAUAUAACUACAAAGGCAGAAUAUUUCCAGCAGCUACUGCUCACUUCCUUAGUUGUUAAAAUAACUUUCUUUCUUCUUUGGUUCAAGUGUGAAGGGAAGCUGAAGUUCUAAAAGAAUUCAAGUUAUAAGGAGAAGUUGCAAAAAUUGAGAUUAACACCACAAAGGGGAGGCUGAAUCGUGAUAGUUUAUCAGUCCGAGGAUAAGGCACAUGUAUUCUAGCUAGUAGACCUCCUCAGUAGGAGCACACGAAACUCUGCUAUUUUUGGGUAAGCUCCAAGUUGAUAUGGAGCUUUAUUGAGUCUUUGGUAAAUCCAUUUUGGUAUUGUAUCGUAGUUAAGAAUCAAUGGUGUAACAUAUGAUAGUGUAGACCCCGGAUCAAUUAACGCAUAUACAAUAUGUGAAAUAUGGAAAAUAUACCCGUAACCACAUCCGGUGAGGCUUCUGAAUUUUGUCGAUCCCCUAGUGCAUAUGUGCGAUUCUAACCUCCACUAUAACUAGCUGCUCCCCUAGAUCCUCUACCACGACCUGUAGGCAUAUGUAGUCCACUACCUAAAGAAGGGGAUGAUGAGGUCGACAUAACAACUGAUCUAGUUGGUUGUGCAAUGCCACCCACUCCCCUAUGAGGGCAGUUUCUCAUCAUAUGCCCUGGUGUGUCACACCAAAAAUAAACAUCCAUCCCAAACCUGCAUGCACCUAGAUGAUUCCUUCCACAUUGUUUACAAGGCUGUUGUGGAGGCCUUGAUUGGCUCGUACUUCCCUGCUCUUGAUGACUUGCUAUUUGUGAGCCUUGUCUUUCAAUUCUUUGCCCAAACUGAUUGCCCCUAAACCCUUAGAACGAUGGUGGAGCACUAGCUGUAGAGUAGAAAGAUGAUGUCCUAGGUGGUCUAUUAGAGAACCGAGGCCUAAACUCACCUUGGGAUGGUGUAAACUGCCCCAUGGAUCUGGCCCUCUUAGAAUGCCCUGUUUCCGACUCUUGCGCCCUUCUUCUUUGCCUUUGAUCCUCCAACUUUUGCGCAAAAGUCUGCAUCCUUGCUAUAUCCAUAUCUUUAUUCAACGAAGAAAUUGUACAGUUUCUAACCAGAUAUAAAUCUAAUCUAUCCACAAAUUGAUGAACUCUAUCCUCUAUAGUAGCUACUACAUUAGGAGCAUACCUGGCCAAGGAAUUAAAUUUGAGACUAUACUCUCUCACACUCAUAUUUCCUUGGUGGAGAUUUAAGAACUGAUCUGCACGGGCUUCUAAGAUCUCCAAUGGCAGAUAAUGAUCAAGGAAUGCCCUUUUGAACUCUUUUCACAUAGCUGAAGGUGCAUUUGUUCCCCUAGAUUGCUUCCAAGCUUCAUACCACAAUAUAGCCACACCCUUUAAUCUGUAUGCAGCUAGCUCAAGUGCUUUUUUUAUCACUUACAUGCAUAAUAUCCAAAGUGAGUUUGAUUUGAUCAAUAAAGUCUUGCGGAUCUUUAUUAGGAUCUGACCCGGUAAAUGAUAGAGGGUCCAAGUUAAGAAAAUCACGUAUCCGUGUUCCAGCUGAUCCAUCUACACCACUAGUACCUGCAACUGGACCUUCUUGCCUUUGGCCAUGACCAGUAACUAUAGUAGUCAAUAAUUGGACUACAUUCCUCAAAUCUUGCUCGGUAGCAUUGAUAGGGGUUUCUAAGGUUCAUCUUCCCUCCUUAGUUCUGAAAGGAAGAUGGUUAACUCGUAGUGAUAUCCAUUAUUGUGCAGCAAGGUAUGUAAGACUAUUCGAUUUCCUAUUUCCUUGGCAUGAUUCCAACAAGAUGGUUAACUCGUAGUGAUAUCCAUUAUUGUGCAGCAAGGUAUGUAAGACUAUUCGAUUUCCUAUUUCCUUGGCAUGAUUCCAACACUUUUAAGCUUUCUAAGUGCUCUUGAUAGUGACUGAUCCAUAAAUGCAGUUCGUACUCCCUUGAGAAGUAAAGUGAGGACUCUACCAUGAGUUUGUUACUUAAUGUGCGUUUUUUCUCUACCAAGUGUUAGCAUGCAAGGUUUAAACUUGUCUCAUUGUCAAAGUACCCCUGACACGUAUUUCCCUUAUAUAUGUCAAAGUGAUCCUAGAUUACACAUGGUACAUAUGUUUAUAGGAUGGAUACACGAUCUGCCCAUAUCUUUCCAACUUGCUUCAAUAGUAUAUUCCAUCAUAUAUGUCAUCUUUUCACAUGUUCAUGUGUUCCCUUUAUUGAUUAUUACUCCCAUUGUUUAGACUAUUAUGUUGCCUUACAAAAUGUCUAAUUGCUCUAUUGUACAUUUAUAUGGAUGUACUUACUUGAAAUAUGUAUCCAUCCGUAAGUUGAAUUUGUCCACAUUCUUCCUUGGUUCCACAUUCAUAUAUACCUUGUCUUUGAUAUUAGUUGGUCAGUAUUUAGCUAUCAUAUAGAGUUCAAAUCUCUUGGAUGAAAGUUAUAUGUCUUCACUCCGUAUGUGCUUCAAUUUGAGAUGUCAAAAAUGUGUACUGAGUCAUAGAAGAAGUACUGUUGGUGUCACAUUUGCUUUCCACGUCAUUGCCAUUAUCGUUAGUCCAUAUUCGUAUGUCUUCUACUGCUAGUUCAUAGUUCCAAAUCUCAACAAUGAUUAUAACCACCAAAACAUCAAUCCCAAAUGAGUUACUAUCAACAAAAGAACAAUCUCAAAAGAGUUAUGAUUAUCUAAAGUACACAGUCUCAAAAGAGUUAUGAACAUCAAAGCAACAAUCUCAAAGAUUUAAACAUAGUUCUUCCCAUCCAUUUUCCCCUAAUCAUUUUUAUAAGGUCCUCCAAAACCCCUCGGCUUUACCACGUCUAGAAAACACUAUUAAAGAAAUGGCAGGAAGUAAGCUCAUGCAACACUCAAUUAAGUGGUUUAUCACUACACUUUCAAUGUUCUAUCCUCUAACCAGUUUUCAUGACUUCUCUACAUAUCCUGCCAGACCCUCUUAUUUAUAUGAUACACAAAACAGUCCCUAAGCUUCACAAUGUGGAAAUAGCUAUAUGAACUCAUGACUUCCGAUCAACAUCCUGUGAAUUCCAACUAACAUUUAGAUUCUCAAAACAAGCUCACAAUCAAAAUUUAAGGGGACUCCACUCCAUGUAUGUCCCAACAAGCACCUCCUUCCUGAACAUUCACCAAGCUCACACCAUACAGAGGCAACACUCAACAGUUCAUUAACACAUGCAAGCUUUUAUAAAUAAUGCAAGAACAAGAGAGGGAUGGAAAUUUCCAUAGCUUACCUUGCUAGAGAGAAACCUCACUUGUCAAGACUUGGAUUCUUCAAGGUUUAGGUUGUCCUCUCUAACUUACCUUGAUGUUAAAUCAGAUUAUUCACUUGAAUUCCUUAAGGUGGGAGAUGUUCUACCAGCUUGUACUUUAAAAAUACAUGUUUUCUUCAGAUUCUAAUGGUGAAGCUGUAGAACAGAACUCUUGGAGCUUCCAUGGCUUUCCUUGGGAGUAAUUUCGGGUGAAUAAGUUAUAUGAAAGAGAUAUGAUAAGCUUGAUGCUUUAGAGGCCAUUUUGGACGUUUUUUCUUUAAUAAAUUGGGAAAUAAUAUGGUCCUUUACUUUAAGCAAGAAGGUGCAUCACCUCCUUAGUUUCUGCCAUAUGUUUUUAAGUAGUUGCAUCAGCUACUUGCUCUUUUCACUUAAAUUCAGUCCACUUAUUCUAAGUAGGUGCACCACCUACUAGCUCCGUUAAAAUUCAGUCCACUAAUUCUAAGUAGGUGCAUUCACCUACUUGCUCCUUUUAACUUAAAAUUCAGUCCACUAAUUCUAAGUAGGUGCAUCACCUACUUGCCCCUUUUCACUUAAAAUGCAGUCCACUCAUUCUAAGUAGGUGCAUCACCUACUUGUCACAUACUAGCAUAGUUUAGUCAAGCAAGCACCUCAAUUAUUUUACACCAUGUUCCCCAUCCUAAAUUCUUUACAAGACCGUAACACUAAAUACACACUUGAUCACUUUGACUUUUAUAUCGAAUACCACCUUUAAUAUCCCGAGUUUGAGUUGUUUUUUAAGUAGCAGUAUACAAGGUGAUCGAAUCAAAUAUAGAUUGAUUAAAAAUGAAUAGAGUAAUCAAUUUGGUUCAUAUUUAAAUUGAAUAAAAACACUUAACCCACUCACCUCCCACCCCAUCCCACCACCACC
Molecule: long non-coding RNA, 4235 nt
Organism: Solanum pennellii
Lineage: Eukaryota; Viridiplantae; Streptophyta; Magnoliopsida; Solanales; Solanaceae
Exons: 3
Source: RefSeq, a predicted model, not a curated record